This 453-nucleotide ribosomal RNA is filed under the name uncultured Porphyromonadaceae bacterium. RNAcentral describes it as "partial 16S ribosomal RNA". It matches the Rfam family "Bacterial small subunit ribosomal RNA", at positions 341 to 792 of the family's 1533-position model. The record is from RNAcentral. Lineage: Bacteria; Pseudomonadati; Bacteroidota; Bacteroidia; Bacteroidales; Porphyromonadaceae.
ACGGAAGGCAGCAGUGAGGAAUAUUGGUCAAUGGGCGGAAGCCUGAACCAGCCAAGUCGCGUGAAGGAUGAAGGUAUUAUGUAUUGUAAACUUCUUUAGACGUAGAGAAAUAAGGGGAUCGUGAUCCCUGAUGUUAGUAUACGUAGAAUAAGGAUCGGCUAACUCCGUGCCAGCAGCCGCGGUAAUACGGAGGAUCCGAGCGUUAUCCGGAUUUAUUGGGUUUAAAGGGUGCGCAGGCGGUCUUUUAAGUCAGUGGUUAAAUCGUGGAGCUUAACUCCAUCCCGCCAUUGAUACUGGAGGACUUGAUUGCGGUUGAGGUUGGCGGAAUUCGCCGUGUAGCGGUGAAAUGCAUAGAUAUGGCGAAGAACUCCGAUUGCGUAGGCAGCUGACCAAGCCGUAAAUGACGCUCAUGCACGAAAGUGCGGGGAUCGAACAGGAUUAGAUACCCUGGUA